GCAGGAAACGCCCACUUUUUGCAAACGUCUGCUGUAAUUGCUAACAUUUAAACAUCCAGUCUACAAUAAAUAAUAAGUCUAUUCAAUGAAAGUAAAGGUCAGUUGUUUAAUCAAAAAUGUUAAAGAAAUGAAUGAAAUAAUAAUUUAAAAAAAUUGGUUGAUCAAUUUAGUUUAAUACAGGUUCUCAUAUUCAUGGCUUUAUUUUCCUGUAAGGUGACAAGUGAUAAUCUCAAAGUUUUCUGGAUUUCUUAUCAUUCUUAUAUGAUUACUUGCUCUUUUUUUCCUACUGUGGGUUUUAGUCCAUCAUCCUGAUGGUGGUGGUUGAGG
Ictalurus punctatus (channel catfish) is the source of this 327-nucleotide long non-coding RNA. The record is from Ensembl. Lineage: Eukaryota; Metazoa; Chordata; Actinopteri; Siluriformes; Ictaluridae.